AUCGNNUUCGAUUAUGGUNGUUGGUGAGGUAAUGGCUCACCAAGCCGAUAAUCGAUAGGGGCCGNGAGAGCGGGAGCCCCGAGAUGGGUACUGAGACAACGACCCAGGCCUUACGAGGCGCAGCAGGCGCGAAACCUCCGCAAUACACGAAAGUGUGACGGGGUUACCCAAAGUGUUCAAUUUUGAACUGUGGUAGGUGAGUAAUGUUCCNUACUAGAAAGGAGAGGGCAAGGCUGGUGCCAGCCGCCGCGGUAAAACCAGCUCUUCAAGUGGUCGGGAUAAUUAUUGGGCUUAAAGUGUCCGUAGCCGGUUUAGUAAGUUCCUGGUAAAAUCGGGUAGCUUAACUAUCUAUAUGCUAGGAAUACUACUAUACUAGAGGGCGGGAGAGGUCUGAGGUACUACAGGGGUAGGGGUGAAAUCUUAUAAUCCUUGUUGGACCACCAGUGGCGAAGGCGUCAGACUGGAACGCGCCUGACGGUGAGGGACGAAAGCCAGGGGAGCGAACCGGAUUAGAUACCCGGGUAGUCCUGGCCGUAAACGAUGCAUACUAGGUGAUGGCACGGCCAUGAGCCGUGUCAGUGCCGUAGGGAAACCGUUAAGUGUGCCGCCUGGGAAGUACGGUCGCAAGGCUAAAACUUAA
RNAcentral lists this ribosomal RNA (640 nucleotides) under uncultured archaeon. RNAcentral's name for it is "bacterial SSU rRNA". It matches the Rfam family "Archaeal small subunit ribosomal RNA", at positions 214 to 859 of the family's 1478-position model. The record is from RNAcentral.